Molecule: non-coding RNA, 130 nt
Organism: Pimephales promelas (fathead minnow)
Lineage: Eukaryota; Metazoa; Chordata; Actinopteri; Cypriniformes; Leuciscidae
Source: RefSeq, a predicted model, not a curated record
UCCUGAAUGAAAUUAAGUUCCAUGGGAAACAAAUGCGCGACCAGGAACGAAACACGACGUAAGAUCGCUGUCAUGUGAUAAAGAUUCCCAUUGAUCGACUGCUCCUGUCAUGUCCUACGUUUAUUAAACG